Molecule: non-coding RNA, 30 nt
Filed under: Mus musculus (house mouse)
Lineage: Eukaryota; Metazoa; Chordata; Mammalia; Rodentia; Muridae
Source: RNAcentral
UGUGAGCAUUUGGCAGAUACUCAUUGGACC